UGCGUCGCACGUAGUCCCUCUUCCACUGCCCCGGGGCUCUUUUCUGUGCAUCUACGGCCACUCUGCAGCGGCGCGCAAAGAUGUCUCUCGCACCCAACACAGGCUCGGUCGAGCUGAAGGCCUACAGCGCGCAUGCGUCCCGCCUGCUUGCAAGAGGUGAGCGGAUUGACAAGCGCGCCUUCGACGAAUGCCGCCUACCCGCCAUUGUACGCGAGGAGCGCGUUGGCGGCGCUGCCGUGGCUGGUGGGAUGGACGGAAGCCUGCAAAGCCCCGCAAGCAGCAACAUGGCCAGCGCCUACACCGUGUCCGAUGGCAAAAGCCUUGCCGCGGUCAUGUACACGGACGCGUACGGAACGUGCAUUCAGUGCACUGUGCAGGGGCUGCUGGGCCCUCCUCGCCCCGAGCACCCGGCUGCCGGCCGACUCAAUGUGCAUGUUGAGGCACCGUUUGUCGAGCACUUGAGUGGCGGUGGAACAAGCACCAACUACCGCUCCUUUCAGUACAUGAUUGCGAGCGGCAACGCCGAUCUGCCGCUACGGCAGCUGGAGGGCCACAUCGGCACCGUGCUGGACGGCUGCUUUGAUUUGAGCCAGCUGAGCAUCUACGAGGGCGAGGCGUGCUGGGCGCUGAACGUGAGCGUCCUUCUCUUGAGCUUUGACGGCGGGCUGCGCGCCGGCAGUCUCCACGCAGCCCUCGCCGCGCUCCAUAAACUGCACCUGCCGCGGACGCGACUGCCCAAUGGCGACGUUAUCGAGGGACGCCAGGUGCAGCUUUCCUGCAUGCCGGUGGCGUGCACCUUCGGGUUCUUGGCGGGCGCUCAAGUGCGGCUCGUGGCAGACACCACGGCCAUCGAGGAGCAUAUUGCGGACGGCCUUAUUACAGUGGUCGUGGACGAGGCGGAACGGAUUGUUAGCGUGCACCACACCGGCCGUUGCCCGUUGCUUGCGCAGGCGCUGACGGCCGCUGCUCAGCAGUGGACAGCGGCCUCUGGCGCAAUGCGGAAGGCUCUGUACGGAUAGUACCGCUGAAACUCCGGUGUGACGGCUGCUUCUUCCCUCUCGCUGGUAGACGCGUGCGGGCACAUGCGUGCUCAUAUAGCCGAGGCGGUGUGCUCCGUGGAACGUCGAUGCCGCGCGCACGCUAAGGGAGGGGACGUGGCUGCCCGCGGCAGACGCGUCUGUCUGGUUGCUAGUGCUUCGGCAUGUCGCCGCGGCCUUUUUUUUAGGUGCCCGCGUCUUCUUGUACGCCGUGUAACUCUCGCGUAACGCUCUUAAAGAACAUGACGAAAUCCGACGCGGAACAGAGCGCGCAUUCACGCGCGAUUGACAACCCUUCAUCUCCCUUCGCCACAUACGGGCGAAAAGGCGUCAGGGUGGUACGUCUCUCAUUCUGUGCAGAGGGGUGGGGGCGGGAAAAGCGAGGGUGGAUAGGCCAAUCAGUAGAGAGGCGAGAGGGAAUCAUGGUGGCAGAUAGUACGGUCAGCCGUGGCCACGCGCCCGUGUGCCUCUCUCCUCUCCUCUGUCUUUACAGGUCUUCGCCUGCCUCGUUUGGCUCAGCGGCGUCAGACGCCGACAGCGCGCAGACAGAUGCCCUUUUCUUCAUGCGGAGCGCACGCCUACCCUUGUGCGCUGCCACCCCCCCUUGCGUUCUUUGCUUCUUCGCCCUCCGCUGUUGGUGUGGCACGCCUUUCUCCUCUCCACUGCCUUUUCGUGUUCCACCCGCCCCCCUCCCCCUCCAG
RNAcentral lists this unclassified non-coding RNA (1738 nucleotides) under Leishmania donovani. RNAcentral describes it as "gene:LdHU3.32.4620(CDS-product:exosome-associated _protein_2_putative)". Lineage: Eukaryota; Euglenozoa; Kinetoplastea; Trypanosomatida; Trypanosomatidae. The record is from RNAcentral.